This is a small nuclear RNA of Piliocolobus tephrosceles (Ugandan red Colobus), 119 nucleotides long. RefSeq annotates it as U5 spliceosomal RNA. Lineage: Eukaryota; Metazoa; Chordata; Mammalia; Primates; Cercopithecidae. The transcript has a single exon. The record is from RefSeq and is a predicted model, not a curated record.
ACUUUUUGGUUUCUCUUCAUAGUGAAUAAGUCUUUUGCCUUUUACUAAAGAUUUCUGUGGGGAGAAACAGUUAUGAGUUUGUCACUAAAUUUCUUUAAUGUCCUGCUUAAGACAGGGUU